UACGAGGGGGGCAAGCGUUGUUCGGAAUUAUUGGGCGUAAAGGGCGCGUAGGCGGUGCGGUAAGUCACCUGUGAAAACUCUGGGCUCAACUCAGAGCCUGCAGGCGAAACUGCCGUGCUUGAGUGUGGGAGAGGUGCGUGGAAUUCCCGGUGUAGCGGUGAAAUGCGUAGAUAUCGGGAGGAACAUCUGUGGCGAAGGCGGCCAUCUGGACCAGCACUGACGCUGAGGCACGAAAGCGUGGGGAGCAAACAGG
This 253-nucleotide ribosomal RNA is filed under the name uncultured bacterium. RNAcentral's name for it is "partial 16S ribosomal RNA". It matches the Rfam family "Bacterial small subunit ribosomal RNA", at positions 524 to 776 of the family's 1533-position model. The record is from RNAcentral.